This 165-nucleotide ribosomal RNA is filed under the name Smelowskia sisymbrioides. RNAcentral describes it as "5.8S ribosomal RNA". It matches the Rfam family "5.8S ribosomal RNA". From Rfam's summary of the family: 5.8S ribosomal RNA (5.8S rRNA) is a component of the large subunit of the eukaryotic ribosome. The record is from RNAcentral. Lineage: Eukaryota; Viridiplantae; Streptophyta; Magnoliopsida; Brassicales; Brassicaceae.
CUAAUACGACUCUCGGCAACGGAUAUCUCGGCUCUCGCAUCGAUGAAGAACGUAGCGAAAUGCGAUACUUGGUGUGAAUUGCAGAAUCCCGUGAACCAUCGAGUCUUUGAACGCAAGUUGCGCCCCAAGCCUUCUGGCCGAGGGCACGUCUGCCUGGGUGUCACA